ACAUACGACCAUACCCACUGGAAAACUCGGGAUCCCGUCCGCUCUCCCAUAGAUAAGCCAGUGAGGGAUGGAGUAGUAGUUGGGUCGGUGACGACCGGCGAAUGCCCGUUGUUGUAUGUU
Colletotrichum gloeosporioides is the source of this 120-nucleotide non-coding RNA. The record is from Rfam. NCBI's taxonomy places the organism in Eukaryota, Fungi, Ascomycota, Sordariomycetes, Glomerellales, Glomerellaceae.